RNAcentral lists this long non-coding RNA (442 nucleotides) under Pongo abelii (Sumatran orangutan). RNAcentral describes it as "lincRNA". Lineage: Eukaryota; Metazoa; Chordata; Mammalia; Primates; Hominidae. The record is from RNAcentral.
CAGGGUCAAAGGCAGAGUAGGGCCAGGGCAGGGUGAUGACACAUCCAGAGCACAGCAGGGCAGGGUGAUGGCAAGACCAGGGGCAGACCACUGCCAGCUCAGGGCCAGGGCAAGGCCAGGGCAGAGACAGGAAAGGGUCUGGGUCAGGGCCAGGACCAAGGCAGAGCAGGGCCAGGGCCAGGACCAUGGCAGAGUCAGGGCAGGUCCUUGACAGGACCAGGUUCCAGGCCAGGGCCAGGGCAGCAGCAGGGGCAGGGCCUGGAUAAGGGCAGAGCAGUACAGGGCCAGAUCCAUGGCAGGGGCAGGGCAAAACCAGGCCCAUUGCCAAUGCACCAGCCUCCCUACAAGGCUCCUACCAGCUGACCACUGCUGCAGCCCAGCCAUCGCUGUAAGCCUGACCCCCAACCCUGGCUGCAGCCACCUGCCCUCCUAGCGCAGCCGC